Sarcophilus harrisii (Tasmanian devil) is the source of this 14398-nucleotide long non-coding RNA. NCBI's taxonomy places the organism in Eukaryota, Metazoa, Chordata, Mammalia, Dasyuromorphia, Dasyuridae. The record is from Ensembl.
GGGAGGAGGAGGAGGAGGAGGAGGAGGGGAAGAGGGGAAGAGGAGGAGGAGGAGGAGGAGGAGGAGGAGGAGAAGGAGGAGCGGUCGCUGCUGGAGCCGAGGAGCCGGAGCCCGGCCCGACCCCGACCCCGACCCCGGUCCGCGGCAGUCCCGGGCCACAUAUCCAUGAGCUCCGAUUUCCAGCAUUACACUUUCAGAAUGCCUAACAUCGGGUUCCAGAAUCUGCCUCUCAACAUAUACAUUGUGGUUUUUGGCACUGCGAUUUUUGUCUUCAUACUUAGUUUACUCUUCUGUUGCUACUUAAUCAGGCUAAGACAUCAAGCCCACAAAGAAUUUUACGCCUACAAACAGGUUAUAUUAAAAGAAAAAGUAAAAGAGCUGAAUUUGCAUGAGAUCUGUGCUGUCUGUUUGGAAGAUUUCAAGCCCAAAGAUGAAUUGGGUAUCUGCCCGUGUAAGCACGCCUUCCACAGGAAGUGCCUCAUCAAGUGGCUGGAGGUCCGGAAAGUGUGCCCACUGUGCAACAUGCCGGUGCUGCAGCUGGCGCAGCUACACAGUAAGCAGGACCGCGGCCCCCCCCCGGGCCCCCUCCCUGGGGCCGAGAACAUAGUCUAGCCCGCCCCCAGGACGGACUCGGACACACGAUAUCGCAGAGAACCCCAGGCGGAGGGCCGCUCGCCCCUGAACCGGCCGCCCCCGCGCAGAUGCACCAGUGAUCCCCGGCCCUCCCAAAGAGCUGCUCCUUUGGGUCCCGAAGCCACCGGAAGCCUCGGCCGCCCGCCCACGUCCUGGCACGGAGGGCCCGCGGGUGGGGGGUCCCGUGUGCGGCCCCAGCCCCUGUGCCCACCCAGAGUUUGCCUUGGAUAAGCAAGUGGGUGAUGGUAAGUGUGGCAGGAGGGACUGUGGGCUGAGCCUCGGGGGCUGGACCCCUGGACCACCAGGUCAACCCCCCCCCAGAGACCAAGCGUGAAGCUCCCUGAGCCGCCAGAUGAGCCGGCCCGCUCCAGACCCGCUGGCAUCCUGAUCCUGGAUCCCCAAAUCCCGUGGUUCUGAUGAAAAGCCCGGAGCCGCUGUGGGCCGGAUUGGGCAAGGCCCAGGGGAGCGGUGACUGCGCCACAGCCCUCGGCACUGGAUUGUCACCGGUGGUCAGACAGUGAGGAGCCGGAGAAAGAGCAUGGGUGGUCAGCACUGCCCAGCCAGGCGGCGGCGGGUUCUCCCCGGGACUUCCUGCUGGCCCGAACUGAGUAACAGGACUUGGGGUGGGGCAGCCCCGAGACCCAAGGGCAGGAGGGAGCAUCCGGACCGGGUCGUCACCCUCCCCAAUGACUCAGUAAGCCCACAGUCACCAAGCCUCCGGGAGCUGGGCCGCCAGCGGAUAGACUAGUGGCCGUGCAGCCAGAUUGGACACCAGCGCCCCUGAAAGUCAGCCCCCCAAAAGAAGCACCUGCCUACCCGAUCCCAGGCUCAGCCCACAACUGUUCCUCCCGUCUGUCCUCCCCAAACCCCUUUGUCUGACCCCAGUUCUACCCAUCUCUUGUCCUUAUUAGAACAAACGGUUCUUGAGUUUCCAGUUAGCUCUGAGGCACUGCUCUGAAAACAUCCCACGGUCUGUAUUUUUAAAAAUAUUUGAACUUGUAAAUAUUGUAUUCAGCAGCCCAGGAUUAAGGAGCCCACGAUUGUGUGUUUAGUUUUGUACUUGGCUCUGGAAACAUUAGCAAAAAGCCUAUUUAUAGAAGCCAUAGAUGGCUUUGUCUCUUGCACUCACAGACUUUUGUAGAAAUGACCCAAAAGUAGCUGAUCUUUGGGGGGUACCAGAAUAUGUUGUAAAUUAGCUCUUAGAAAGAAGCGAUGGCCCUAGCGGCUCUUCCCCACGGCCCAGCCCGGCCCCUCACAUAACUUCGGCAAGGCCUCCGUGUCCGGGAAGGCUGCUCUGCCUGUAUCAUGUCCCACACCUGCUGGAACAUGGCGGGCCAAGACUGAACUAAAGCAAAAGAUUUCAUCCUCAAGUGCUUCCCGCUGGUGCCCCCCCCUCCCCACCAUCCACUAGAAAUCAGAAAGGGAUUCCACCGGUUAGGGGGCUAGAAAAGGAAAAUGGAAACUGCAGUUGUGGGGAGCCGGCGGACUCCUCCCCCGGUCUGAUCUGGGGGGUUCUGUAGGUCCUGUCCGGGUUCUCGAACAAGGGAGUGGAAGGGAAGGCUAUUUUUAUAGUAGAGCUAAAUUUAACCUGCUGGGCUCCAUGCUUCUUUUCUGAGCCAUUAAUGGAAAGGAUACCAGUUAUAAGUACUCCCGCCUCCCUUCUGACUUAUCUAUUCCUUUUCUGCAUCUCUGGCAGUCGUUAAGUGCCGGGAAACCAAUAGAUUUGCCUGAACUUUGGUAAAACAGGUUUACAGUAAAAUAUUUUUAGUGACCAAUGUCAAAAGAGAAUAUUGGGCUUGUCUCUGGAUCUGUACAGUUCAGUUACAUUGUUUACAGCCUAGGAUUUUCCAGGAACAUGGGACAGCUUUGGAAUAAGUGCCAUUUCUUCCAUAUGGGGCCACGAUCAAAACAGAAGUCAGAAAUCUGGGGACCGUGAAGCUUUUAGCUUGUGCUCCCGUCCCCUCCAACCCCAAUCUGUAGGACUACCCCCUUGGGGCCGUUGCUCUGCUUCUUUGAGUAGGGACCUCAGCAAGGGACUUUUUUUAAGGGCAAAACAUUUUAGUCCAAUAUCUCAAAUAUUCUUUCCAGCUGAAAGUCUGUUCAGACAUUGACUCUAUAAUUCCAACUUAGCUCCGUCGACCGAGGGCCAAAAUAACAAAAUCAAAAUGUCUUCUCAUUCACAGAUCGGAAAGGAGUCCAGUUGGGUACAAAUGUCCCAACAGACUCCACCUGGUGUCUGUACUGUUUGUUUACACUAAUUGUCUAAGCAGAAAGUCGGCACUGUCCCCACGAAUCCAUCCUGACAUUAGUCAAUAAGCAAAGUGGAUGAUGUUAAGCAAGCGAUUGAUCGGAAGAAAUCUUGCCUCUGCUUAGUCAUCCGCUCCUGUAAUGGAGUUUGAGGACCCAGUGCCAAAAGCCAGUCACUUCUCCCAGCCCCUUAAGCCUGGUGACUUGUGACCCUGACCUAGUGGAGAACGGAGGUAUCCAGCCCGUAGUCUGCGAUGGGAGAGACCCUCUGGGCCAAGCCAACGGUCCUUGCUCAAAGACCUCCCAGGGGCAUUCCCUGCUCGUUCCGGACCGGUCCUGAUAGAAAUACUAAGUGAUCGUGCGCUCCGGCCAGAACAAUACAGAACGUAGUUGUAGGUGUAGUUGCACGUUUGGCACCAGUAUUAAAUCCAAGAAGGAGAAAGAAGGAAUGAGAAAAGAAUCCCUUUGAUCCCUGAAUCAAGCUGAAAGCCCUGGAAGUCACUGGCCGCUCCCCAUCUCUUGGUGAAGAUCCAGGGGGAAGUUUAGGCCUUUGGGGACUUUUGCCUAUUUACCCAUCAAUGAUUUUUGUGUUUCUAACUGAAAUAUGAAGAAAGGAAGCUGAAAAAUUGGACUUCAUUGACCCGUCGCCAGCCACUCACUCGCCUUCUCCAGCUGCUGACCCGGAAUCUCUUGUACUCACUGGGACUCAGGGACAGGGCACAGGAACCCGCGGCCUUUGAUGCUGGGCCUGGGAGGCAGCCCGGGGCUUCCCGGCUUUCUUAGCUGCAGAACCUGUAGCAUUUUCCACUUCCUCAGAUGAGACCCGCCAGGAGGGAUUUAGGGACAGAAUAAACGAAAUGAAAGUGUAGGCAGCACCACCUCCUCUUGCCGGGUCAUGCUGGGCUCCCUGCCCUCCGAGGGCUUACGUUCUAAUCAUGGAGCCCACACCUGGAGCGUUCGGUCUGGAACAAGAGCCCACGUGUGUUUCCCUCGUGAGCCCCCCAGGCCGAGGACUAGCUGGCCUCCCCUGUCAGGUUAUUACCACCACGAUCAGACCGCUCCAUGACCUGCAGGGGUGGCCGGGGGUGGUCACUGUGCCAGCGGGCUCCCAGGGCUGCCCGUGAGGAGCGCCUGCCGCUGUCGGCCCUCAGCCUCCCCCCUCACCGCCCCAGCCCGGCCAUGGCUCUGAGCUCUCCGGGCUGGCUGACUGUGAGCCCUCUCUGGGAGGGGAGAUGGCUCCCCUUCCCAGCCACGGUCAGUCCAUCUGGAACCGCAGAAUCGCUCUUGAACCACAUUCCUUUCCAGCAAGACAGAUCCUCGGUUACGACAUAAUGGAAUUCCUUGUUUCUAGACAAACGGAACCUUCCACUCCCUCCCUCACCCUCGCCAUAAAAGCUGAGAUUUGACCUUUUAAGUGCCCAACCAACCAGAGAUGGGACGUGGACUCAUCAGGGCCCUCAUGUGGCCCGGGCCCAAGUCAGCCAAACCAUCCCCUUCCCCGACCGCCCUUGCUUUAGCCGGACCUUUUCCAUCCUUUCUCCUCAUCACCUCCUUAGAGAAGCUGGAGCCCGGGGGGCUUGGGGAGGAAGGGCCCCGUGGCUUGUGUCGGGCUGCCAGAGACGGGCGCUCCUUCCCUGAGGAGGGGCCGGCGCGGGGAGAGCCAAUUCCUCCUCCAGCCGGCGAGUGGGGAAGGCCCAGGCUCCUAGUGGCGGCUAAACCGGCUGUAAUUGUGGAGAUAGGAUUGGAAAGCGGAUCCCUUGACAGCACAUCUGGUGCACGGCCACUGGGCCGGCCGCCUCUGGCCACCCAGAGCCACAUGCAAAGUUCCCCUCCCCCAGCCCCCACCUCCUCGUCUUUUCUGAGUCCUGGCCCGGCCCUGGGCCAAAAGCACUUGAAUCCUGAGCCUUGAAGCUGAAACUUGAAAGGAAAGGCUCGGCAGAAGCACUUUUCAGAUCCUUUCAGACUUUAUUCCCUCCAUCCCUCCCUCUCUCAGACCCACAUCCUGAGUCACUAACCCUUUCCUUACCCAAACUGCAAACAAUCGUUGGGGAAAGGAGGGGUGUUGUGCAGGCUUUAUGCAAUGAACUUUGUCCCCGGUGGCUUUGGGGGAGAAUCAGUCGCUGCUUUUUUUUCAUAAACGACUCGGACGCUUACUCCCGGUUCAGAGUCUGUAAAAAUAUCUUGAAAACUACGUAUUUGGGAGUUGAGAUUUAGGAUCGAGGUUUGUUACAAGUCGUUCUCAUCAGCGUUAUUUGUCUCCCGUCUUCAUGGGUGAGUGGCCAAGAACCCUAACAUCGGAACCCCCAGAAGGAACCAAUUUCUCCUAGAACCGAACCCCUCAGACGUCCCUGGGACUUCUGACCGCCCCAGUCCUGGGGCUGCCCGGGGCCUGACGCCAGCCCUUCUAGCCUUUGGGCCUUUGGGCCCCCAAUCGGUGCCAUCCGGUUAGCUGGGCGCGGGGCUCGGCCUCCUGGUCAGUCCCGCCAGAGGCCCGGGCACUGCUGCCGGCGGCUCUCCCACCAUGCCCGCUGUUUCUCAUUUGCUGACCCUCGGGAUGGCUGGAACGCCCUUCUCCUUUAACAAUGAUUGAUCGCCAGGCAAGACAUCCAGUAUUAACGGGUGGAGAGACUGAAAGUCUCCCGUGAAAGAAUAAGGCAGCCCCGACCCCGGGAAGGGGAGCCCGGCCAGCCGCCGCUCCGGUGCCUCGGCGCGAGCUGGUCUCCCCACGGCGCGAGCUGGUCUCCACGCGGCGCUCGCCGCCCCUGGGUGAUCCAAGUCGAUAUCGUGUAACUCCUGCGAAAGUUUGUGAAACUCUGAGCCUCUGGUUUCAUAGACAUAUUUAUACACUAAGGAUUCUGCAGCAGAAUAUUUUUGAAAUCAUUCGCUGUUUUUGUAAGCUAUAUUUUUGUAUAUUUAAUUGCUAUUUUAAAAUUCUAAUGCAUCUUUUGCUAAUCACAUCCUUGUUUUGAAAAAAUAACGUUUGCAUGUGAUUGACUUGAAAUGUAAAUAAAAGCAGGUUUUGAAAAUACAUGUUGUCGGGACGCGCCCUCUCUGCGGCCGAGCUGUCGGGGGCCUCCUCCGCAAGGUCCUGGGGAGCAGAAGCCUUCCAGCGGCGGCAGCGCCCGGCCCUCAGUGCGGGGCUUCUCCGGAAGGAGGAGCUCGCCGGGGAAUGAACCCAACAGCAACGAAGCCCGAGCCCCUGGCAGUGAGCAGCCCCCUCCCCCUCAGACGCCCCCACCUUCGGGGCCUCGGGCCUCAGGGCAGGGCUUGGCCCAAGUAACUAACGGCUAACGGGCGGGGGCCAAGGCCGGGGGCCUCGCACCCGGGACCCGCAGCGGCACAGGCGGGACCAGGAGAAGGCCUGCCCCCCGCCUUCCCCCGCCCCCCGGCAGCCGUCGGUACGCGGGCCUCUCCUCUCCGGUCUCUGAGCAUCUAUUAAGCGCCUUCUGUGCGCCGGGUGACCUGAGCACUGCGACGAGGGCAGGCCCAGCAGCUCUUCCCCAGGACUUCCGGGUCUCUCUCCGGGCCGGCGCACGCUCUCUCCGAGGCCCCGCAGUAGCAGCUGCGUUUCCAGGAGCCCCAAGUUCAAAUCCCGCCUCGGACCCCGAGCCCCGGGGGACCAUGGACAGGCCGCGAAAUCCGUGAGAGGCGUUGGGCGGCGGGACCUGGGGACUUGCUGUGAGCCUCGGAGGGUCCCAACCAGCCCCUCAGAACCCGGCCUCCUCCUGCAGAGUAUCUGCGCAUAGUAGGCGCUUUAUCAAUACUUGAACUUGACAGGGAAAGGAAGCAUUCUGUGCAAUGAUUCAGGAUCAAGCAAAGAUUUUCCUUAAGAAAAAGACGCAUUAAGGGAAAAAACCAGACAUGAACAUAAUUGUAAAGUUUUUUAUACAAAUAAAGUCAGAUUUAAAUAACUGGAGAAAUAUUCAUUGUUCACAGGUGGGCUAAACCAAUAUCAUAAAAUUUUAUCUAAAUUAAUCUAAUUAUUCCGUGCCAUUUGAAGUAAAUCACUCAAAAAAUUAAUUGAAUUAGAAAAAAUAUAAUCCAUUUGGAAGAACAAUAGCUCCAGAAUAUCAAAGGAACUCAUGGAAAUAAGUAAAGGAAGGAGAUCUGGCAUGAGAGUCCAGCUCUUAAAUGCAUCAUAAGGCUAUAAUUAUUUCAACUUGCAGGUACUGACUAAAGAACAGAAAGGUGGAUCAGUGUAGAUAUACAACACACAGUCGGAAAAGACUGUAACAAGCUCCUGGUUAACAAAUGCAAAGGUUUACGCUUUCGGGACAAGAAUUCGCCAUCUGGUUAAAAAAAAAAAUUGGAAGGAAAACUAGAAAGCAGUUUGACAGAAACUGGGUAUAGACCAGCAUCUUAUACCAUUUACCAAGAUAUGAUCAAAAUGGACACAUGACCUAGACGUGAAAGGAGAUCUCAUAAGUAAACGUACCCUCUAUCAGAUUUAUGAAUAAGAUGAGAAUUUAUGAAUAAACAAAUUAAAGAGCAUUGUGGAACAUAAAGUGAAUAAUUUUGAUCCCAUUAAGUUCAGGUUUUUUUGUUUUUUUACAAAUACAUGUUUCCGAGAUUAGAAAGAAGUAGAGAAAUGGAGGGAGGGAUUUGAUAAGAGUUUUCGGAUAAAAGCCUCCCUCAUAUCAAAUAUGUGGGGAACCUUGUCACCUUUUUAAGAAUACAAAUCAUUCCCCAGUUGAUAACUUGACAAAGGAAAUGAACAGGCAGUUUUGGGAGGAAGAAAUCAAAGCUGUACAUAGUCAUGUGAGAAAUGCUCCAAGUCAUUAUUGAUUAGAGAAAUACAAAUUAAAAUAUCUAUCAUCACCCAUCAGAUUGGCUAAAAUGAUAUGAGGAGAAAAUGACGAGUGUCAGGGGGAUGUGGGAAAAACGGGGACACUAAUUCACCGGAGGUGGAAACGCAACGGGAUCCAGCCGUUGUGGAGAGCGAUCUGGAACUUCCCCCAAAGAGUCAUCAAACUGGAUAUACCCGUUAAGCCAACAAGAUCACUCACUAUUCGUUGUUUCCCAAAGUGAUCGGGGAGAAGGAAAAGAACCCAAUGCUUCCAAAAUAGUUAGAGAAGCUCUUUGUGGUGGCAAAGGACUACAGAGGAAAGGGCUGCCCCGACAUUGGGGAUGGACUGAAAAAGUUGUGCUACCGGAUCGUGAUGGUGAUGGCCUAAGGAGUUCUGGGCAGGCUGAUCCCAGAAAAACCUGGAAAGACUUGCAUGAAAUAAGGAGAACGGUGAAAUAAAUAAAUGAGAAACAAAUGUUAAUAAUGAAAUUAAGAAAACAUCUAAAUAAUACUGAACAUUGAAUUGAGUUGAAUCUUGAAUAAUAUUGAAAAAAUAUUGAAGAUGCUAAUGGCUCCAGAGAAAGAGAAGUCCAAUAUGUAUUUGUGUGUGUGUGUGUGUGUGUGUGUGUAUAUAUAUAUAUAUGUCAUAUAUAAUGUCAGACGUUGCCUUUCUCUAACUCAGGGCUGGGAAAGAGGAAGGGAAACAUCUUGGAACCCAAAUGUAACAAUAAAUAAAUCAUUUUUUAAAGAAAAAGAAGAAAACUUGGGGAUGAUCUCUUCAAACGGAAAGGAGGGAAUGGGUAAUGUGAGAACGCCCCCUCCUCAGGUUGGAGGACGUAAUCAGUAAUGAUUUCUGGGACCCCAAUGACAUAACCACUGUAUUCUGGGAAGAGAAGGCGAGAAGGGGAACAUGUCCGCUUGUAGCUGGAGAUGGGCAGGGAGCUUGACCUCCAAACGCGAGUGCUGGCCCUGCAGCUGACCGGGGCUCCUUGAGGGAGGGAGCCAUGUCUCCACCUCCUGCCCUUGAGCUGGGAUCUCCAGAAGGGACGCGGGUGCCAGGAGUCCAGGAUCCCCUCGUCGGCACCCCAACAAGCAGCCGCCCCACUUUUGCUGGAUCGCUCUUGGGGAUUGGCCUUGUGGACCACUCUGUCCAUGAGGUUUUCUUCCCAGAAAUGCUCGCGUGGCCGCUUCCCAGUCCAGUGAAUUAUGGGAAGAUGAGUUUGUCGACAUUUUGGCUGCACUGAGCUCAGGCCCAUGGGGCUCUUCCUGAAGACCCGGCCCCCCAGCUGGACGCCUCUGCAUCGAGCCUACAUCUGCCCCCCACCCUGCUCCGGCCCCCCUGCAGCACGUCGGGGUCCUUCCCAAGGCGGGGCCCUCAGCACGAAGCCUCCGCCCCAGACGGGGCCUGACCAGGACGGAGGGACCCCUGAUCCCAGACCCCCAGCCUCCAGCUGCAGGAGAACAUCCGAGUCCGGGCCUCUAAGUCCCCAGCCCCGGUGGGGCCGUGGGUCCUGCUCCCUUGGUCUCCUCCCAGGGGCCGGCAUGGAGGAUGCUCCAUCUGGAACAGAACCUGGAAGGGAAACCUCUGUUCCUCCGGCCUUCAAGGGGAGGCUCCGGAGCCACUGGGGAAUGCUGGGAGGGACCUCUGGCUCCUGGAAUGCCUGGGAUCCUUGGGAAGAAGAACUCUCCCUCAUUUCCUUUUCUUCCCCUAAACAGGCCAAAUUAUUCCAAGAUUUCACUUUCUGUUCUUCUCCCAGAGGAUCAAGAUUCCCGGCACAGAAAGAGUUCAAGGAAACCGAAACUGCGCCUCCCUGCACACAUCUGCCCCUGGGAUGAGGGGCCAAAGGGGCGGGGGGCCGCCGAGCAGGGAGGGGGAUGGGAGGGGAGGGGAUGGGAGGGAAGGGGCCCUCCGGGCAGGGGAGGGGGAGGGGAGGGGAAGGGGAUGGGAGGGAAGGGGCCAGCUGAGCCGGGGCCACCGUCCCUCUGCCCCCAGGCCGCUGUCUUCUGGGGAGAAGCGACCCCUACUACACCUUCAGAGAUGGCCCCCAAAGAGACGGGGACCCCCAGGGCAUCUGCAGGGGCCCUCACCUCCUACGAGAUCGGCUACCCCCGCCCACACCUGUAGAGGAGGUUUCUCAUUCCCUCUGCCCCCAGCAGUCGGGGCCGCCACGGGUGCCUGUCCCGCCCCCACCCCCACAAGGAGCCGGAGCCGGAAAGGGCACUGGGGGGGCCCAGGCCCCAGGAGGCCUCGGGGCAGCGGUCGGUCCUGGGGGGCCUCUCGCGCCUCGGGGGAGCCUGAAGCUCUCUGGGCUCCCUUCCAGAGCUGACCACGUGUCUCGGACCAGGGCAGGCGCGCGUCAGGCCGAGGGAGGGCCCUGGGCCCUGGCUGGCAGCGCGCUGGCACGGCGGAGGGCCGGCCGAGCGGGGGCGGGGCGGAGGUCCCAGGGAAGGGCGCGGCCCCGGGCGCCGCCCACCGCGGGAGCUUCUGCCAGGCGCCGGGGGCCUGAGGCUGGAGGAGCCGCUCCCAGGACCGAACGGGAGCCCCGCUUCCGCAGCUGUAGCGUGAGGCCCGCAGCCGUCGUGACCUUCUCCAGGCCCCACAAGAGCCCCCUCCCCGCCCCGCUCCCUCCCCGAGCAGCCGGAACAGGCGUUCCCGCCCGGCCGGGCGGCCUGGGAUUUCCCACCGGCUCCGAGCUCCGUGGGCCGGCCUGCCCCGAGCCACCGGCCCUGGCUGGGGGAGGGGGGGAGGGGGCCGGAGACCCGGCGCCCCCCCCCCAGUCUGUCUCGGGAGGGCGCAGGCCCUGCCCCCGCCCCCUUCUCCCCCCGUCAGCCCGCCCGGGAGCCCCGGGGUCCGUGGCCCAGGCCGGAGGCGGGACGUCGGGAUCCCGCCUGCGGGGCCGCGCUGCCCCCUGGCGGCGGCCGCUGCCCCAGCCGGCGGAGCCGAGCCCCGCGACGUCCCGACCCGGACCGGGCCGGUGGGGUUCGGGCGAGGUGCUGGCGAAGUCGGCCCCGUUGGCGGGCCCAGUGGCGGGCGGGGGCGCGGGGGCGGUGAGGGAUUUACGCGGCGCGGGCUGGGCUUCAGCCCCCACAGUCACCCUGCGGAGAAGCGACGAGCCCACUUCCAUAGAAGGGCGAACUGAGGCUCGGGUGAAGUGACUUUCCCAGGAUCACAAGCGGCCGGCAAGAGUCUGAUGCCGGGCUCGGCCAAGAAAGCCCCGCCCGCCCCCUCGGCCCCGCCCGCCCCCGGGCUCGGCCCCGCCUAAAAAAGGGUUUUUAACAAAGCACUUAGCGCGCGCCUGCUGUGUGCACGAGGCCGGACGUUAGGCGGCCUCUGCGCGGGAGCUCGCGCUCUAACCCGCCACUAGUGGGUGAGGGAGGAGCCGGGGGGCGGGGAGGUGCCCCGGCAGCUGCGGGCGUCCGGAAGGAGACGCCCCGUGGCCCCGCUCCCGACCCAGCCCGGGUCCGUCACAAGCCCCCGGGAGCCGCGGGCGGAGUUAGAGGCAGGGGCGUUUCUCGGCAGGACCUCACUCACACCGCUAAGGAGAAGUGCCCGCUGCCCGCGCAGCUGCGGCAAAACGGAGGGACCGGCGCGAAACGCCUUCGGAGCCUUCCGUCCUAGGUGGGGCCCUUGUUAGCCAGGAGACCUCGCCUCGCAGAAGGGACCCAAGCUCUAAGGCGGCCCGUUUCCAGGCAACGGAGCGGCUUCCCUUGGGAGGGACCCUUUCCGGACCUCGACCACGGGAGCCGAGGCAGCCAAGCCUGGGGAGAACUCCCAGGGGGGCGCCGGGCGCUCUCGGGCCCCCGGGGGUGCAGCGCGGCCCCAAGGCAAGCGGGGGGGGGGGGGCUGACGGGAAAGGGGGUUGUGUCCUCGGGGGGCUCCGACCAAGGGCACUGCAGCCCCGCAGAAAGCACCCCCCAAAAAGGCACUGCAGCCCCGCAGAAAGCACUGGAGCCCCAAUGAAAGCACCCCCCAAUGAAAGCACUGCAGCCCCGCAGAAAGCACUCCCCAAAAAGGCACUGCAGCCCCGCAGAAGGCACUGGAGCCCCGCAGAAAGCACCCCCAAUGAAAGCACUGCAGCCCCGCAGAAAGCACCCCCCAAAGAAGGCACUGCAGCCCCGCAGAAGGCACUGGAGCCCCAAUGAAAGCACCCCCCAAAGAAGGCACUUCAGCCCCGCAGAAAGCACACCCCAAGGAAGGCACUGCAGCCCCAAUGAAAGCACCUCCCAAAGAAGACACUGCAGCUCCGCAAGAGGCACUCCCCGGGCGGCUUUGGGGAACGUGCGGGCAAAAGCAGCUCCAGGCUGCGGCCGCGCCGAGGGCUCCGGGACCACUAGAAAGCAGCCCCUCCCGUCUCAUCCUGGAAGCCCCGACAGGACUUGCUGCCACAAGCCCCAACUCACUGGCCGUCAGCGUCCACACUACACGGGGAGGACGGGUAUCAAAAACUGCCAUCAAGAAGGGACUCCUGCUACUAGUAAAAAUUGGCAAGCACCUUCUCUACAAUUUAGCGCUAGAAUCUAAUUUUGGUCUCAUGACUUCAAUAAUUGUUUCUAGUUUGUUCUUUGAUCCGCUCAUUAUUUAGGAUUUUAUUAAGUCCCCAUUUGAGUCUUUGUCCUCCCUGACCUGAUUAUAUUAUUAGCUAUGGUUUAUAAAGAAUACUAUUUCUACCCUUUUUUACAUUUGUUUGCAAUGCCCUGGCAUGUGGUCAAUUUUUGUAGAAGUUCCAUGUGGUGCUGAAGUCCUAUUUAAACAGUCCCUAUUUAGUCUUUUAGCUCAAUUUUCCGAUUAAAUUCUGUAGUUUUUCUUUCUUCUGUUAAGAUUUAUGCCAAACUGAGGAAUACUGAAAUCUGCUAGUAUGUAUAUGUCCUGUAAUUCUGCUGACUUAUAAAUGUAGAUGCAAAGGCACUUGAAGCAUAGAUUUAUUAUUGCUCUUGGUUUGUUGUCAGUGAUUCCUUUCAGCACAUUUUCCUUGUUCAUCCCUUUUCAGUUUGGCUUUUUGUCUUUGCUUCAUCUGACAUGAUUCCAAUUCCUGCUUUUUGGAUUCACCAGAUACAUAAAAAAAAUUUUCCAACCUUCAUUUUUAUUAUGUCUCUUUGCUUUUCAGGUGUUUCCUAUGAAAUGUUAGAUUUGUUUUCUUAUCCAACCUUUUACUUUUUCAUUUUAUUGGAGUUUUUAAUCCAUUCACAUUUAGUUAUGACAGCUGUUUACUAUUUUCUCCAUUUGCUAAUUUUUUUUUGUUUCCUGAUCUUCCUCCAUAUAGCACUUUGUCUCGUUGUAAGCUUGAUCUACUUUAAAAGCAACCCUAUUCCCACCAGCUGUCUUCCCCUUAUCCUAAGCCCACCCACUCCCAUGAUACCCUUUUUUCAUUGUUGCCUUUUUUUUUUCCAUCUACCAAUUUCAUUCUUUCCCAUUAUUCCAAUAGUCAAGCAAAAUCCUCCCUCUUCUUUCACUUUUGUUUUAAAAUUUUAUUUUCUGCCCCUUACACCAUUUUGUUUCCUCAUUAAUUUCUCUUCCCCGUUUAUUCAAAACUAUACUAUCCUACUAGGGGAUGAGAAAGGCCUUUUGGAGGACAUGGGAUGAACUGCCCUUUGAAGGAAGCUAAGGAUGCUCCAAGUGGAGACAAGGGAGUCUGAUUAGCUUUCAAGUAAAUAAUCUGUUUGCAUUUCUUAACAUACCCCCAGAAGAACACAAACUCCUCGCUAGGGGGGAAUUUCUCCGUUUCUUUUUCCCUACUACCCAUCCACAAAAAAAAGCACUCCAGACAUAAGCCAUGGCCAGUGCCAAGGCAUGGCGGUGCGUUUUUUGAGGAACAAAGGAGCUGAGUUCCAGAAGGGGAACAACAUAAAAUGAAAUUAAGGUAUGUUGAGGCAAGCUAAAGGUUUUAAAAGCUGAAGUGUCUAUUUUAUCCUGGGGGAGGGGGACUCUAGAUUGUGAGUGAGGGAGUAAUGUGGCCAGAUCUGGACUCAAAAUCAUGUGAAUGCAAACUGCAUUGGCCAGAGUGCCAGGCCUGGAUCAGGAGAGCCCAAAUCUGCCCUCAGCCGCCUCCAGGCUGACCCUGGGCCAGUCCCAUAAUCCUGUUGGCCACAAAGAAGUGGAGAAGAAAAAUCGGCCAACCGCUGAAGCACAAGGAAAACCGCACCUAGGGCAGGGCUGCCAUGUCUGAGGUGGCCCUGGAAGGGAGAGUGUGCUAGAGAGAGAUCUGGUGGUCAGGAAGACAGUGGGAAAGAGAGAUCAAAGGGGCAGUAGGACUGACUGCUCAGUGUGGAUAAACCAUUCCGGCCUGGGAAGAACCAAACAAAAGGGACUCCUCUUACUCAAAGAAAAUGAGAAUCUAUUUACCUUUGAUAAGCACAAGUCAGCAUGCCCAAAGUGCAUCUCCAGUAUGAAGGAACUAGCAGAUAUAAUUAUUAAUCUCAAUAUUUGAAAUCCCAAGAGAAAAUGGAGUCACAGGACUGGAGAAAGACAAAAAUCCUAAUUUCCAAAAAAGAAAAGUCUACAAAACUUCCACAUAGAUGAGCUUGACUUGGAGUCCUGGCAAAUAUAUGAUUAGUCAUCAAUGAACAAAUUAUUUGCGUCAAGAGCUAAGAGAAUACUUGGAUGAUAUCUGCUAAAAAUCAGCAAGUAUUAAGCACCUACAAUGUGCUUAAUGUCUGGGAAUACAAACACAAAAUAUCAAUCCUUACUUGGCAAGAAAAUUACAUUUUAAUAAAACAUGUUAUCUGUUGGUGAGC